GGACGGUACUCCAGGAAUAAGGAUCGGCUAACUACGUGCCAGCAGCCGCGGUAACACGUAGGAUCCGAGCGUUAUCCGAAUUUACUGGGCGUAAAGCGCGUGCAGGCGGCUGGGUAAGUUGGGCGUGAAAUCUCCCGGCUCAACUGGGAGAGGUCGUCCAAAACUACCUGGCUAGAGGGCAGUAGAGGGAGGUGGAAUUCCCGGUGUAGUGGUGAAAUGCGUAGAUAUCGGGAGGAACACCAGUGGCGAAAGCGGCCUCCUGGACUGUACCUGACGCUCAGACGCGAAAGCUAGGGGAGCGAACGGGAUUAGAUACCCCGGUAGUCCUAGCUGUAAACGAUGUGAACUAGGCGUGGGUGGGGUAAAAGCCAUCCGUGCCGCAGCCAACGCGCUAAGUUCACCGCCUGGGGACUACGGCCGCAAGGUUAAAACUCAAAGGAAUUGGCGGGGGCCCGCACAAGCAGCGGAGCGUGUGGUUUAAUUCGAUGCUACGCGAAGAACCUUACCCGGUCUGACAUGCAGGUAGUAGGGAAGCGAAAGUGGACCGACCCUUCGGGGAGCCUGCACAGGUGCUGCAUGGCUGUCGUCAGCUCGUGUCGUGAGAUGUCCGGUUAAGUCCGGUAACGAGCGCAACCCUUGCUGGAUGUUACACGUUUCAUUCAGGACUGCCGGCUUAUAGCCGGAGGAAGGCGGGGAUGACGUCAAGUCAGCAUGGCCUUUAUGACCGGGGCUACACACACGCUACAAUGGCCGGUACAAUGGGUUGCAAAGCCGCGAGGUAGAGCCAAUCCCCAAAGCCGGUCUCAGUUCGGAUUGCAGGCUGCAACCCGCCUGCAUGAAGUCGGAGUUGCUAGUAACCGCGCGUCAGCACUAGUGCGGUGAAUACGUUCCCGGGCCUUGCACACACCGCCCGUCACGUCAUGGGAGCUGGUAACACCUGAAGCCGGUAGCCGAACCGCAAGGUAGGCGCCGUCGAAGGUGGGGCCGGUGACUGGGACGA
Molecule: ribosomal RNA, 1000 nt
Filed under: uncultured bacterium
Lineage: Bacteria
Description: bacterial SSU rRNA
Rfam family: Bacterial small subunit ribosomal RNA
Source: RNAcentral